RNAcentral lists this ribosomal RNA (441 nucleotides) under uncultured Phenylobacterium sp. Its description in RNAcentral is "bacterial SSU rRNA". It matches the Rfam family "Bacterial small subunit ribosomal RNA", at positions 337 to 795 of the family's 1533-position model. The record is from RNAcentral. Lineage: Bacteria; Pseudomonadati; Pseudomonadota; Alphaproteobacteria; Caulobacterales; Caulobacteraceae.
GCCUACGGGCGGCAGCAGUAGGGAAUCUUGCGCAAUGGGCGAAAGCCUGACGCAGCCAUGCCGCGUGAAUGAUGAAGGUCUUAGGAUUGUAAAAUUCUUUCACCGGGGAAGAUAAUGACGGUACCCGGAGAAGAAGCCCCGGCUAACUUCGUGCCAGCAGCCGCGGUAAUACGAAGGGGGCUAGCGUUGCUCGGAAUUACUGGGCGUAAAGGGCGCGUAGGCGGACAUUUAAGUCAGAGGUGAAAGCCCAGGGCUCAACCUUGGAAUUGCCUUUGAUACUGAAUGUCUUGAGUUCGGGAGAGGUGAGUGGAAUGCCGAGUGUAGAGGUGAAAUUCGUAGAUAUUCGGCGGAACACCAGUGGCGAAGGCGACUCACUGGCCCGAUACUGACGCUGAGGCGCGAAAGCGUGGGGAGCAAACAGGAUUAGAUACCCCUGUAGUC